Molecule: long non-coding RNA, 889 nt
Filed under: Monodelphis domestica (gray short-tailed opossum)
Lineage: Eukaryota; Metazoa; Chordata; Mammalia; Didelphimorphia; Didelphidae
Description: lncRNA (ENSMODG00000036079.2)
Source: RNAcentral
UUUUCAUUGAGUCAUAUAUUUUAUGCCAGUGGACCAGGAUAUGCUAUUACUGACUUUUACUGAGGGGUCAAAAACUUUGUUCAAACUCUAUGGAAGUGAGUAGUUGUGAACUCCAUAUUUGCCUGGCUUUAAAAGCCUUUCAUUUUUAAAUAUCCUAAAAUUCCAGCAGAUGGUGAUACUACUACAUGAAAGAGGGCUCUUUGCUCUAGUUCUGGAAUCUGCAUUAUUGGUAGCAUGUGAUGAGCUGAAGAAUGUCCGGAGGAAGGUGACAAGGGUAUGGGAUACUUCCAACCACCCUUCUACAAAAAUGAGGGCACUAAGAGAUAUUAAGCAAUCUGUCCAUGAUCACACAGCUAAGACUCCAAGGAAUGCUUCAUCCAGAUUUCUGCUUGUACAGACCAAAGCAACUACACCAUGGAUAGUCAGUAAGUCAAAAGUCCAUCAGUUAGCUAACAUUUAUUAAGUACUUUAUUAAGUACUUUGUACUUAAUAAGUACUAAGUGGGCACAUAGGUGGCAUGUAGUGUGCCAGGUCUGGAGUCAGGAAGACUCAUGUUCCUGAGUUCAAAUCUGACUUCAAAUACUUAUAAGCUGUAGGACUCUGGCCAAGUCACUUAACCCUUUUGUCUCAGUUUCCUCAUCUGUAAAAUGAGCUGGAGAAGGAACUGGCAAACCACCCAGGAAUUUUUUGCCAAGAAAACUCUAAAGGAGGUCAUUAAGAGUUGGACAUGACUGAGAAAAAUGGAAAUUCAAAUUGAAAGACAUAGAUUCCCAAUGAAUCAUUGAAUCACAGAUUCCCAUAGCUAGAAGAAAUCCUAGAGGUCACUUAAUCCAACUCAAAUGAACAAAAAUAGUGGAAAUGACUUCAAUUUUUACCAAGAUUGCACAGC